AGUCUCUCUGUGCUUUGGCCAUCUCGAUCUCACUCAGGUACUGAGCAGACACCUUUUCCUGCUUGGCUUUGGCCUCCUGUCCACACAGAGAUCAGGAAGGAAGAGGACACGUCUGACUCC
Molecule: long non-coding RNA, 120 nt
Organism: Lynx canadensis (Canada lynx)
Lineage: Eukaryota; Metazoa; Chordata; Mammalia; Carnivora; Felidae
Exons: 3
Source: RefSeq, a predicted model, not a curated record